This 428-nucleotide ribosomal RNA is filed under the name Capnocytophaga granulosa. RNAcentral's name for it is "bacterial SSU rRNA". It matches the Rfam family "Bacterial small subunit ribosomal RNA", at positions 28 to 462 of the family's 1533-position model. The record is from RNAcentral. Lineage: Bacteria; Pseudomonadati; Bacteroidota; Flavobacteriia; Flavobacteriales; Flavobacteriaceae.
GAUGAACGCUAGCGGCAGGCCUAACACAUGCAAGUCGAGGGAGAAGCCCUUCAGGGCAGAAACCGGCGCACGGGUGCGUAACGCGUAUGCAACCUACCUUUCACAGGGGGAUAGCCCGAAGAAAUUUGGAUUAAUACCCCAUAAUAUUAUUGGGUGGCAUCAUUUGAUAAUUAAAAUUACGAUGGUGAAAGAUGGGCAUGCGUCCUAUUAGCUAGUUGGAGUGGUAACGGCACCCCAAGGCUACGAUAGGUAGGGGUCCUGAGAGGGAGAUCCCCCACACUGGUACUGAGACAGGGACCAGACUCCUACGGGAGGCAGCAGUGAGGAAUAUUGGUCAAUGGUCGGAAGACUGAACCAGCCAUGCCGCGUGCAGGAAGAAUGCCUUAUGGGUUGUAAACUGCUUUAUAUGGAAGAAUAAGGAGUACGCG